ACAAACAAUGUAUUCAUUAAUGACACAUAUUGAAAAUAUUAUUCUCUACAAGGUAUUGGAUCAUUCCACACUCUCACGAGUUCUUCCUUAAUUCAAAAUCUUCAUUCAUUACAAGAGCAAGCAUUCAGCUUCCACUUCCCCUCACUUCCUCGAAUUAAUUUUUGAGGAAGGUGCAAUUCACAUCCCUAUUCUAUUGUCCUUAACCUCAUGGGUUACCCUGAUGGAACUUGCCCUAUCCACCAAACCACCGCUCCACUUUCGGAAGCACAAAACAAUCAUCACAAUUGUCAAUUCGACCUACAUCUUUUGAAUGCGACAAGACCAAUUAGUUCUUCAUGCCUCUCUGAAACCAUUAUCCCUAAUUGCCAUCGUCACUACCCAAAUAGCUUGGUCACAACGUGACUGUAUUUCACCAAAAGAUUAACAAUCCCACAUUCUUCAUCUCAAAGACAAAUUGCCCCAAUUUACACAGAAUAUUGCAAAAUUUCCUCUCAGAGUCAAAACUCUCUCUAAAGAAACUUGUAGCCCGCGUUUGGCCCAUAUUAAUUAUCAUUCCAUUAUAUUACAUUUUUCUCUCUUCAAUUUUCAACCACAUAAUCUUCCAUAAAAUAAUAUUACACAUAAAUCGAAAUUUUUUUCUUCUUUUUCAAUCACUCAUUUUUCAAAAAAAUAUUAUUCCACCUAUUAACUUUUCUACAAAAUGGGGGGCCAAACGGGGGCGUAAUCUUGGCAUACAGCUCAGUGAUGUCGACGUGCUCAUAUAUUGUACUAGAGGUCUUGGUUCAACUUACAAGAAGGUCAUUGCUACCUUUUGAACCCCCAUCGAACUUGAAGAGCUCUUCGACAAGCUCAUUGACAAUGAAUAGACCUCUAGGAUGCAGAAAAUGUCACCAUUAAAUCUUCUUCCUCUGCCCAAAACACACAGUCUACUCCACAGCCUACAAACAAACCAGCAACCCAGUUUUAAAGAAUCAAGCUUCUUAAUGAAAUUAAGUUUUUAAUUAUUAUUUUUUGGAUUAAAAAUUGGAGAAAAUCUCAACAACUAAUAUUAACUGAAGAAUUCGAAUUAGUAUUUGGGC
Molecule: long non-coding RNA, 1079 nt
Filed under: Olea europaea (common olive)
Lineage: Eukaryota; Viridiplantae; Streptophyta; Magnoliopsida; Lamiales; Oleaceae
Description: long non-coding RNA (OEUR_LNC010966)
Source: RNAcentral